UCAUCCGUGGAAUGCGGAUGGCGCGCCACCUAGCAGGGUACGGGACACGUUGCAGCUGGCAAAGCCCGGGCCAUUUUGCACCGCUAUUUCUUUCUUUCCUUCUAUUUUCCAUCACUGUGAAGCGCUGUAAUAAUCUCUCUAUCUGACAACCCACAAAGAAAGAGCAACAAAAUUGAGAAAACAGAAGAGGUGAGCGUUCAUCCGCAGUAGGGAAUUCAGCUUUGGAGAUGGGUAAUUAUAUUUAUGAUGAGGAGCUAAAAAGAUUGCAGAAACUAGUAUCAAGCCUCACAAAGGAGAUCGAUUACAAAAACUAUAGAUUGCUGGAUAUAGAGCUUAAUUAUAAUGAUAAAUCUUCAACUUUGUGCAAAAUUGCCGUGAGCUUGACCGAAGAGAUCAACAAGAAGGAUGAAAAGUUGUCUGAAAUGAUGCACAAGUACGCUGAAGCCUCUGCAACUGUUGGCAGAUUAAAGGAGGAGGAGAAAAGAAUAAAAGAAGCCUGCAUUGAAGAGAUGGGAAAGAUGGAUUUCAUUAAAGUACAGAAUGGAAGGCUGAAGCAUGACAUGGAAUGUCAAAAGAGAAUUUGAGAGGCAAUUAACAUUUCUGGAGAAAUAUCAGGCUGAGAAGGACCUGGCGCAAAAAAAUAUGAUGGAUAAGGAGAAGAAGGUGGUGCUCCUCUCGUCCCCCCUCUGCUCGAGAUGUGGCCUCAUCUGCCAGAUAUGCCAACCCUCCGCUACUCCCUACACUAGAAUUGGGUCUUGCUAAUUCAUCUCUCAAGUGAGUAGGACUCUGCACCACGACUUCUGCUGGAUGUCCCGCAGAGGAUGCCCGUUGUCUCCCUGAAUCACUCGGGUCCCAAAUCUCUGCCUGUCGCUCUACAACGUGGGCAAACUGCUCGUAAUGAAACCGAAGGGUCAUAUCCUGCAUCAAGAUCCGCGUGAGCUGCCUCCACCUCUCGUUCAUAUAUUUUCUCACACAGAGAACCUGCUUUUCAAAAUGUCCCCACAGGUGCUCAUGUAAGAUCAAUUGAAACAUUUGAUCCACGCGCCACAAGAAGCUCACCACGUGUUCUCCAUCACGUUGCUUACCUCCCAUUGCGGAGAGUAGCUCAUGUUCCCAACGAUCCCAGAUUAAGUCUAUUGCCCCCAGGUUCGGGUCCGACAACUUGAAACUCGGUCCUCCUGGGUUCAUACCAAAUGACAAGAUAUCUCGUGACCUGUACAUCAAGUCGAGUAUUAGGUCAAUUACCAAAUAUCCCACUCCUUGACCUAAGACCAAGCCCAAAAGCAUAUGGCCCCUUACUGGAGUAUCCCAAUGCAAAUUUAUACCAUACUUCACACACAUGUUUGGGGACACUUCACUUCACUCCCUUCCUAAUCGUGACUUAGGAAUGGAGACUUUUAUUCAGACUUAUACCCCAUUGCUAAACACAACCUAGACCCCUUUCAACACCCCUAGGUGUACAGGAGAGACUCAUCCCAACCGUGCUUUGAUACCAAAUUGUGACAACCCAGCAUUUCCUCAAUUUAUAUUCACAACUAGCUUAUAACUCAUAUAGAUGGGCUUAGAUUUGCCUCACAAUUAUAUAACAACGGAAGCAAAUUAAUUAUAAAUACACAAUUCAAGGGCAUUUCCUUACAUAGUAAGGCAUCAACCUAUCAAAUACAACAAUUGCAAUAUUUGAGUUCCUUAUCACAACUCACACCCCAAAUAUCUUUUCAGUCGGGACUGUCCUGUAGUCAUUGCCACCUAAGACCGACAUGCCAAAUGAUCUGAUCUUGAUAUCUGCUCCUACUCCUGUAAUAAUGUUAAAAAGAAGGUGAGCCACAAGAAAAGAGGGUGAGGCAGUAGCGAGGCCCAGCAAGUAGUCAACUUUGGGUAGGGAGCUGUUGGCCGGUCGCGAACGAUUACCCGUCCAUCUUUCGGUUGUCUUUGUUGGGAGCUUAGUAACUGCUAUGUGUAGUGAUGGAAAAAUUACAUAAUAGAUAUGAAUUGGUAUAUGCUUGAAGAUUCGAAUAAAUAGAAUGUGAUGAAGUAUAAUCGCUACAAGAAAAGUGGCUUUUAGUGGCCACUUUUAGUGGCGGCCAAAAGAUAUUUGUCACAAUUACAACUAUUAGUGGCGGCCAAAGAAUGUUUGUCACUGAAAAGACCUAUUUAGCAGCAGUUGAACAAAACUGGCCACUAAAAAGCUCAUUAUUUGUGACGGCCACAAUCUGUGGCCACUAAAGGUGCAUUAUUGUGAUAGUUGACCGUGGUGGCCACUAAAAGACGAUUAUUUGUGAUGGCCACUAAAGGUGGAUUAUUUGUGACAACCCAACAUGGCGGCCGCUAAAAGCUUUGUCUACUCAAACAAGCUUAUUUGUGAGGGCUAGCAUUGGCGGCCACUAAAACCAUAUUAUUUGUGAAGGCCACGUGUGGCAGCCAUUAAAGAUGGAUUAUUUGUGACAACCGAACAUGGUGGCCACUAAAAGCGUGGAAUGUUGGUCGGUCUACUCAAACAAGCUUAUUUGUGAGGGUCGUCAUUGGCGGCCACUAAAAAUAUAUUAUCUGUGAUGACUGGACGUGGCGGCCACUAAAAGCUUGAGACGUUGAUUUGGCUCCCUUAUUCUUAUUUGUGAGGGCUGGCGUUGGCGGUCACUAAAAGAUGACUAUUUGUGACGGCCACUAAAGGUGGAUUAUUAAUAUAGAAAAGUACAACAAUGUCUUAAUAUAAAAUGUCACAUAAAGUAUAAAAUAUAAUUAAUAAUUAAUAAAAAAUAUUUUCAUUCUUAAUAACAUUCUUCAUUCAAUAUACUUUGAUGCAUGUUUUUAUUUCAUAAUAGAACUCAUUCUUCCUUCAAUAUUCUUAAAAAGUAUAUUUUUUUAUUUCAAUAUACUUUUAUAAUUAAUAAUUAAUAAUAUACUUAUUCUUAAAAAGUAUACUUUUAUAUUCUUAAAAUAUAAAAUAUAAUUAAUAAUUAAAAACAAAAUAUGUUUUUAUUUCAAUAUUCUUAAAAAGUAUUUUUUUAUUACUAUGAAAUUUACAAAAAGAGAAAAGAUAUUUUGUUUAUUUUUCUUUUCCUUCAAAAUAUAAACAAAAGUUUCAAAAAUAUCUAAAAUUUACAAAAAAGGAAAAGAUAUUUUGUUUAUUUUUCUUUUCCUUCAAAAUAUAAAUAAAAGUUAAAAAAUGUAAAUCCCAUCUCUCCGUAUACAUUGGCCCCUUCAUCUCUCUCCCUCAUCUCUCCUGCCUCAUUUAUUUCCCUCCAUCUCCCUCUCAUCUUGCCUUCACUGCUUCCACCCCGUCACCUCCGCUGCCUGACUUCCGCAACCCUCUCCUUCUCUAUCUCCGUCUUCGGCUUUGGCUCCGUCACAGCCUCCUUGUUGCCUCAACGCUGUCACUGUAGCUGUCGCUGCCACCGCUGCCUCAACGCCGCCGUCGUCUCCAUCUCCAUCGCAGCCUCCAACUCUAGUAGGCAUUUUGAGUUCAUGUGAAAGGCGUUUCUACUUCGCCCUUCCUAAUCAAGCAAACAGGAAUUCCAUGAAAUAAUAAUUGAAAACGAUGAGAAGUUGAAAGCGUUGAAAACCGAGUGCGGCAAGGAGGUUUACAAUGCCUGUUGGAAUUGAACGAGUUCAAUCCAAGCGGGAGAUAUGUAGUCCCUGAAAUUUGGAAUUCCAAGGAAGGAAGAAAGGACAGUGUGAAAGAGACCAUAAAAUACAUAAUCAGGCAAUGGAAGGAUCACAAACGUAAGAGGAAAUGAAGCCUACAUUUCUCAGUCACCUAGUUUUGGAGGGACUAAUACUAAGUAUAGCCAAGUGAUAUAGGAUUUUGUUGUAUACCAUGUACUGAAGACAUCGUAAUACAAUGUUUAGGUUAUGGAAGUCAAACAGGAAGCCGAGCAGUUUCCUGCAGCAGGUGAUGUGGAGUUUCAUGGUCACAGGUAAGAUCUUGACUUAGAACUUUUGUCUUAAGCUCACAAGUUGGGACAUGAAUUCCACUCGGGAAUGAUAGAUGGUCUUGUAGCUGCUUCACAAAUAGAGCUGUCUGUGUACCAAAUAACUUAAUGGCUGGACUUGUGCAGGUUUCCCAACCCUGCCUUGCUAUUCGAGCAAUUCUGAACAUUUCUAGUGUUGAAAGUAUUAUGUUUUACCAGUCAGUAUCAAACUCGAUUGAAGGAAGAUAGGUAUUCAAUUCAGCCGUAUUUUCUUGGCCUAAACAUGUAGGGACAUGCAAUUGAUAGCUACCCUCAGCCCCCUAUUUUCUUGGCAUAAACAUUCAGGGACAUGCAAUUCAUAGCUACCCUUUAGGAACACCCACCAAGCCCCUUCAAAUGAAACAAGUUGUUUUCUUUUUUAUGGUGGAAGUACAUUCCAAUGAAACAAGUUGGACUCAGAAUAUUUGUAACAAGGCAGGUACGGAUAGAAAAGUAAACCCUUAACCAAGAGAAUGAUUUACAUAUAAUUUUUAAAUAACCCUUAUUUUAUUGCAUUUGUAUAUAAUUUUUUUGUCUAGAUAUAUUAAAAAUCAUGUAUGAUUUGUUCUUUCUAAAUACCAAAUUUCAGCUUAUGG
Long non-coding RNA from Diospyros lotus (date-plum), 4543 nucleotides. RefSeq lists it as uncharacterized. The transcript has 7 exons. NCBI's taxonomy places the organism in Eukaryota, Viridiplantae, Streptophyta, Magnoliopsida, Ericales, Ebenaceae. The record is from RefSeq and is a predicted model, not a curated record.